RNAcentral lists this long non-coding RNA (592 nucleotides) under Malus domestica (apple). RNAcentral describes it as "long non-coding RNA (MDOM_LNC013218)". Lineage: Eukaryota; Viridiplantae; Streptophyta; Magnoliopsida; Rosales; Rosaceae. The record is from RNAcentral.
GAAACUACAAGUAAGCUUCAAGUGAAAUUGAUACAUUACCUUGUGCAUCUUCAUCGGUGAAAGAUACCACCCCUGGAUGGAGGAAAAGUACUUCCAGAGAAAAUGCCACAUCUACGUAUGAGACAGAUAAGGCAAGUGAAAAUGAUAUCACACUUCGGUACUUAGAAGUUUCGUGAUUACUCAAUGGCUUGGAUCUUGCAAGUCCCCAACCGAGGAGCUUCCCUCACUCGGGAACUUAGGGGACUGUUUGUACCAUACUUGACCAAUCCUGAAACUACUGAGCACCGGUCAACGUUAUACCGUCAAGGACCCAGAAGAGUUUCCCUCCAACCAGGAGGCCAAUCACAGCGCAACACGUGUCGACAUCAGAAGCCAAUCAUAGCGCAACACGUGUCAACAUCAUAAGCCAAUCACAACAUGACACGUGUCAAUAUCAGAAUGAAACUAGAAACUCUUUUCUAUAAAUAGAGAUCAUCUCUCACAAUAUUUCCUAAUGUCAUUUGUACUAAAUCAUUCACUAGUACUCACUAAAUGAGAGCUUGAACUUAUGUACUUGUGUAAACCCUUCACAAUUAAUGAGAACUCCUCUACU